Molecule: ribosomal RNA, 1167 nt
Filed under: Fusarium solani
Lineage: Eukaryota; Fungi; Ascomycota; Sordariomycetes; Hypocreales; Nectriaceae
Description: LSU rRNA
Rfam family: Eukaryotic large subunit ribosomal RNA
Source: RNAcentral
GUAACGGCGAGUGAAGCGGCAACAGCUCAAAUUUGAAAUCUGGCUCUCGGGCCCGAGUUGUAAUUUGUAGAGGAUGCUUUUGGUGAGGUGCCUUCCGAGUUCCCUGGAACGGGACGCCAUAGAGGGUGAGAGCCCCGUCUGGUUGGACGCCGAACCUCUGUAAAGCUCCUUCGACGAGUCGAGUAGUUUGGGAAUGCUGCUCUAAAUGGGAGGUAUAUGUCUUCUAAAGCUAAAUACCGGCCAGAGACCGAUAGCGCACAAGUAGAGUGAUCGAAAGAUGAAAAGAACUUUGAAAAGAGAGUUAAACAGUACGUGAAAUUGUUGAAAGGGAAGCGCUUGUGACCAGACUUGGGCUUGGUUGAUCAUCCGGGGUUCUCCCCGGUGCACUCUUCCGGCUCAGGCCAGCAUCAGUUCGCCCUGGGGGAUAAAGGCAUCGGGAACGUGGCUCUCUCCGGGGAGUGUUAUAGCCCGUUGCGUAAUACCCUGUGGCGGACUGAGGUUCGCGCAUUCGCAAGGAUGCUGGCGUAAUGGUCAUCAGUGACCCGUCUUGAAACACGGACCAAGGAGUCGUCUUCGUAUGCGAGUGUUCGGGUGUCAAACCCCUACGCGAAAUGAAAGUGAACGCAGGUGAGAGCUUCGGCGCAUCAUCGACCGAUCCUGAUGUUAUCGGAUGGAUUUGAGUAAGAGCAUACGGGGCCGGACCCGAAAGAAGGUGAACUAUGCCUGUGUAGGGUGAAGCCAGAGGAAACUCUGGUGGAGGCUCGCAGCGGUUCUGACGUGCAAAUCGAUCGUCAAACAUGGGCAUGGGGGCGAAAGACUAAUCGAACCUUCUAGUAGCUGGUUUCCGCCGAAGUUUCCCUCAGGAUAGCAGUGUUGAACUCAGUUUUAUGAGGUAAAGCGAAUGAUUAGGGACUCGGGGGCGCUAUUUAGCCUUCAUCCAUUCUCAAACUUUAAAUAUGUAAGAAGCCCUUGUUGCUUAAUUGAACGUGGGCAUUCGAAUGAAUCAACACUAGUGGGCCAUUUUUGGUAAGCAGAACUGGCGAUGCGGGAUGAACCGAACGCGAGGUUAAGGUGCCAGAGUAGACGCUCAUCAGACACCACAAAAGGUGUUAGUACAUCUUGACAGCAGGACGGUGGCCAUGGAAGUCGGAAUCCGCUAAGGACUGU